AGAGUUUGAUCCUGGCUCAGAUUGAACGCUGGCGGCAUGCCUUACACAUGCAAGUCGAACGGCAGCACGGGUGCUUGCACCUGGUGGCGAGUGGCGAACGGGUGAGUAAUACAUCGGAACGUACCUUAUCGUGGGGGAUAACGCAGCGAAAGCUGUGCUAAUACCGCAUACGCCCUGAGGGGGAAAGCGGGGGAUCGAAAGACCUCGCGCGAUUAGAGCGGCCGAUGCCUGAUUAGCUUGUUGGUGGGGUAAAAGCCCACCAAGGCGACGAUCAGUAGCUGGUCUGAGAGGACGAUCAGCCACACUGGGACUGAGACACGGCCCAGACUCCUACGGGAGGCAGCAGUGGGGAAUUUUGGACAAUGGGGGCAACCCUGAUCCAGCAAUGCCGCGUGAGUGAAGAAGGCCUUCGGGUUGUAAAGCUCUUUUGUCAGGGAAGAAACACCGGCUCUAACACAGUCCGGGAAUGACGGUACCUGAAGAAUAAGCACCGGCUAACUACGUGCCAGCAGCCGCGGUAAUACGUAGGGUGCGAGCGUUAAUCGGAAUUACUGGGCGUAAAGCGUGCGCAGGCGGUUAUACAAGACAGGCGUGAAAUCCCCGGGCUUAACCUGGGAAUGGCGCCUGUGACUGUAUGGCUAGAGUGUGUCAGAGGGGGGUAGAAUUCCACGUGUAGCAGUGAAAUGCGUAGAUAUGUGGAGGAAUACCAAUGGCGAAGGCAGCCCCCUGGGAUAACACUGACGCUCAUGCACGAAAGCGUGGGGAGCAAACAGGAUUAGAUACCCUGAUAGUCCACGCCC
Molecule: ribosomal RNA, 800 nt
Filed under: uncultured bacterium
Lineage: Bacteria
Description: bacterial SSU rRNA
Rfam family: Bacterial small subunit ribosomal RNA
Source: RNAcentral